AUUAGAAACAAUGUCUCUAAAAUGCUACCUA
This 31-nucleotide non-coding RNA is filed under the name Mus musculus (house mouse). Lineage: Eukaryota; Metazoa; Chordata; Mammalia; Rodentia; Muridae. The record is from RNAcentral.